UCCUACGGGACGCAGCAGUGGGGAAUAUUGCGCAAUGGGGGAAACCCUGACGCAGCAACGCCGCGUGCGGGAUGAAGGCCUUCGGUAUGUAAAGCUCUAUCCGCAGGGAAGAAAAUGACGGUACCUGACUAAGAAGCCCCGGCUAACUACGUGCCAGCAGCCGCGGUAAUACGUAGGGGGCAAGCGUUAUCCGGAUUUACUGGGUGUAAAGGGAGCGUAGACGGCUGUGCAAGUCUGGAGUGAAAGGCAUGGGCUCAACCUGUGGACUGCUUUGGAAACUGUGCGGCUUGAGUGUCGGAGAGGCA
This 305-nucleotide ribosomal RNA is filed under the name uncultured bacterium. Its description in RNAcentral is "bacterial SSU rRNA". It matches the Rfam family "Bacterial small subunit ribosomal RNA", at positions 337 to 659 of the family's 1533-position model. The record is from RNAcentral.